RNAcentral lists this ribosomal RNA (468 nucleotides) under uncultured bacterium. RNAcentral describes it as "partial 16S ribosomal RNA". It matches the Rfam family "Bacterial small subunit ribosomal RNA", at positions 28 to 507 of the family's 1533-position model. The record is from RNAcentral.
GACGAACGCUGGCGGCGUGCUUAACACAUGCAAGUCGAACGGAAAGGCCCUGCUUUUGUUUGGUUCUCGUGUGGCGAACGGGUGAGUAACACGUGAGUAUCCUGCCCUUGUCUUUGUGAUAACUUCAGGAAACUCGGGCUCAUACCGGAUAGGAUCUCCUGCUGCAUGGUGGGGGUUGGAAAGUUUCGGCGGUUGGGGCUAGACUCGCGGCUUAUCCGCUUGUUGGUGGGGUAGUGGCUUACCAAGCCUUUGACGGGUAGCCGGCCUGAGAGGGUGACCGGCCACAUUGGGACUGAGGUACGGCCCAGACGCCUACGUGAGGCAGCAGUGGGGAAUAUUGCACAAUGGGCGGAAGCCUGAUGUAGCAACGCCGCGUGCGGGAUGCCGGCCUUCGGGUUGUAAACCGAUUUCGCCUGUGACGAAGCGUGCGUGACGGUAAUGGGUAAAGAAGCACCGGCUAACUACGUG